RNAcentral lists this ribosomal RNA (517 nucleotides) under uncultured Staphylococcus sp. RNAcentral's name for it is "partial 16S ribosomal RNA". Lineage: Bacteria; Bacillati; Bacillota; Bacilli; Caryophanales; Staphylococcaceae. The record is from RNAcentral.
CACGUAGUUAGCCGUGGCUUUCUGAUUAGGUACCGUCAAGACGUGCAUAGUUACUUACACAUUUGUUCUUCCCUAAUAACAGAGUUUUACGAUCCGAAGACCUUCAUCACUCACGCGGCGUUGCUCCGUCAGGCUUUUGCCCAUUGCGGAAGAUUCCCUACUGCUGCCUCCCGUAGGAGUCUGGACCGUGUCUCAGUUCCAGUGUGGCCGAUCACCCUCUCAGGUCGGCUACGUAUCGUUGCCUUGGUAAGCCGUUACCUUACCAACUAGCUAAUACGGCGCGGGUCCAUCUAUAAGUGAUAGCAAAACCAUCUUUCACUUUAGAACCAUGCGGUUCUAAAUGUUAUCCGGCAUUAGCCCCGGUUUCCCGGAGUUAUUCCAGUCUUAUAGGUAGGUUACCCACGUGUUACUCACCCGUCCGCCGCUAACGUCAAAGGAGCAAGCUCCUUAUCUGUUCGCUCGACUUGCAUGUAUUAGGCACGCCGCCAGCGUUCAUCCUGAGCCAGGAUCAAACUCU